RNAcentral lists this transfer RNA (83 nucleotides) under Actinomadura sp. RB99. RNAcentral's name for it is "tRNA-Tyr". It matches the Rfam family "tRNA". Rfam says of the family: Transfer RNA (tRNA) molecules are approximately 80 nucleotides in length. Their secondary structure includes four short double-helical elements and three loops (D, anti-codon, and T loops). The record is from RNAcentral. Lineage: Bacteria; Bacillati; Actinomycetota; Actinomycetes; Streptosporangiales; Thermomonosporaceae.
GGGGCGGCGCCGACGCGGGAGAGUCGGGCCUGUCUGUAAAACAGGUGCAAUGCUGAGUGGGUUCGAAUCCCACCCGCCCCACC